This 464-nucleotide ribosomal RNA is filed under the name uncultured bacterium. Its description in RNAcentral is "partial 16S ribosomal RNA". It matches the Rfam family "Bacterial small subunit ribosomal RNA", at positions 28 to 507 of the family's 1533-position model. The record is from RNAcentral.
GACGAACGCUGGCGGCGUGCUUAACACAUGCAAGUCGAACGGAAAGGCCCUGCUUUUGUGGGGUGCUCGAGUGGCGAACGGGUGAGUAACACGUGAGUAACCUGCCCUUGACUUUGGGAUAACUUCAGGAAACUGGGGCUAAUACCGGAUAGGAGCUCCUGCUGCAUGGUGGGGGUUGGAAAGUUUCGGCGGUUGGGGAUGGACUCGCGGCUUAUCAGCUUGUUGGUGGGGUAGUGGCUUACCAAGGCUUUGACGGGUAGCCGGCCUGAGAGGGUGGCCACAUUGGGACUGAGAUACGGCCCAGACUCCUACGGGAGGCAGCAGUGGGGAAUAUUGCACAAUGGGCGGAAGCCUGAUGCAGCAACGCCGCGUGCGGGAUGACGGCCUUCGGGUUGUAAACCGCUUUCGCCUGUGACGAAGCGUGAGUGACGGUAAUGGGUAAAGAAGCACCGGCUAACUACGUG